UACGAAGGGGGCUAGCGUUGCUCGGAAUCACUGGCGUAAAGGGUGCGUAGGCGGGUCUUUAAGUCAGUGGUGAAAUCUCCGGGCUUAACUCGGAACUGCCGUUGAUACUAUCAAUCUGAUCUCGUGGAGGUAAGCGGAAUAUGUCAUGUAGCGGUGAAAUGCUAGAUAUGACAUAGAACACCGAUAGCGAAGCAGCUUGCUACACGAGUAUUGACACUGAGGCACGAAAGCGAUGGGAU
Molecule: ribosomal RNA, 239 nt
Filed under: uncultured bacterium
Lineage: Bacteria
Description: partial 16S ribosomal RNA
Rfam family: Bacterial small subunit ribosomal RNA
Source: RNAcentral